RNAcentral lists this ribosomal RNA (600 nucleotides) under Triticum aestivum (bread wheat). RNAcentral describes it as "partial small subunit ribosomal RNA". The record is from RNAcentral. Lineage: Eukaryota; Viridiplantae; Streptophyta; Magnoliopsida; Poales; Poaceae.
AUGUUGACAAAUUUGAUUGCAACAGGAAUUGGCAAAGUAAGUGCAGUGCUCACCAUUGCACAUAUAUUCAGGGCAAAAUCUAACUUCAGUCAGAAGAAGAUGACCAGGGAGGAGCUAUAUAUCCCUGUUGAAAGUUCAGUUGUCACCCUACUAUUAAAAGACGAUGAGAUCCUCGGCCACGCUGCCGUCUACUCCCCGGUGCGCGCCUCUUGCAUCAUCCCCCCGCUGCUUAUCCAGUCCCAGCUGCCGGAGAGUCCCGCCGCUGGCACAAGCACCUUGCAAUCGAGAUGUGCUUCUCCGCUGGUGCUGGAGUUAUGGACAUCUUGCAAGCUUACUUGCAGGUUAGUGCAUAUGGCGUUGGGUUGGCGUUGGUGCAGGUUCAGGUUCAUUCACAACACAUUCAGGAGAUCAAUGGAGACCAUCUCUAGGUAUUUCAAGCAGGUGCUUUUUGCUGUUGGGGAGCUUAGAGGAGAGAUGAUAAAGAGACCAUCUGGGCAGACUCCACCCAAGAUUCACGGAAGCCCAAGAUGGUAUCCAUACUUCAAGGAUUGCAUUGGAGCAAUAGAUGGUACUCAUGUCAUUGCCAGAGUUCCUAGGUAA